AGUUACUAAAUCAAAUAUUAAACAAUGGCUUUUACGUUGAAAUGUUUCAGAAUUCCAGGACAAAAACCAGGGCAGAUGUGAAGAGAACAGUUUCCUGUAUCAUGGUGCUGGAAGAACUAUUACAAGUUGACUUUCUCCUGGUGCUCAUGUGCUAUAUUUGCUUUGCAUAAGAGAAUAAAAGACCUGGCCCAUAUCCUCAGAAGCUUCCAAUCUCAGGCCCUGAUCGUACGAACACUUAAGCAUAUGUUUUUGCUUAAUUCCCAGUAGGAUUAAUGGAUCUGCUCACAUGGGAAAAGGCUGACAUAGAGAAAAAGACCAACAGUUACCCUUGGAGAAGAGACCUGUAGAUGGAAUUACAACUGUUGCUGUGCUCCCAAUAUUUCAACAAAGACAGCAUAAAAUCUAGAGGGGCAAAGAUGUGCCUGAGGUAUUACAAGUUUCUGUGACAGUGAAUUAACUUGUGACAUAAUAACUUCUUUAAAAAAGAACUUUAAUUGGAAUUCACUCGACAAAAGCUAACAUGUUGACUGGUGAGACGGGAC
Mauremys reevesii (Reeves's turtle) is the source of this 542-nucleotide long non-coding RNA. RefSeq lists it as uncharacterized. The record is from RefSeq and is a predicted model, not a curated record. The transcript has 5 exons. Lineage: Eukaryota; Metazoa; Chordata; Testudines; Geoemydidae.